RNAcentral lists this ribosomal RNA (441 nucleotides) under uncultured bacterium. RNAcentral describes it as "partial 16S ribosomal RNA". It matches the Rfam family "Bacterial small subunit ribosomal RNA", at positions 338 to 795 of the family's 1533-position model. The record is from RNAcentral.
CCUACGGGAGGCAGCAGUGGGGGAUAUUGCACAAUGGGGGGAACCCUGAUGCAGCGACGCCGCGUGGGUGAAGGAGUAUUUCGGUAUGUAAAGCCCUAUCGGCAGGGAAGAAAUUGGACGGUACCUGACUAAGAAGCCCCGGCUAACUACGUGCCAGCAGCCGCGGUAAUACGUAGGGGGCAAGCGUGAUCCGGAUUCACUGGGUGUAAAGGGAGCGUAGACGGCCAUGCAAGCCAGGGGUGAAAGCCCGGGGCCCAACCCCGGGACUGCCCUUGGAACUGCAUGGCUGGAGUGCGGGAGGGGCAGGCGGAAUUCGUGGUGUAGCGGUGAAAUGCGUAGAUAUCAGGAGGAACACCGGCGGCGAAGGCGGCCUGCUGGACCGCGACUGACGUUGAGGCUCGAAAGCGUGGGGAGCGAACAGGAUUAGAUACCCGGGUAGUC